RNAcentral lists this ribosomal RNA (443 nucleotides) under uncultured prokaryote. Its description in RNAcentral is "bacterial SSU rRNA". It matches the Rfam family "Bacterial small subunit ribosomal RNA", at positions 355 to 796 of the family's 1533-position model. The record is from RNAcentral.
UAGGGAAUAUUGGUCAAUGGACGGAAGUCUGAACCAGCCAUGCCGCGUGCAGGAAGACGGCCUUCUGGGUUGUAAACUGCUUUUGACAGGGAAGAAAAAUCUCUUGCGAGAGACACUGACGGUACCUGUAGAAUAAGCACCGGCUAACUCCGUGCCAGCAGCCGCGGUAAUACGGAGGGUGCAAGCGUUGUCCGGAUUUAUUGGGUUUAAAGGGUGCGUAGGCGGUAGAUUAAGUCAGAGGUGAAAGCCAACAGCUCAACUGUUGAACUGCCUUUGAUACUGGUUUACUUGAGUAUAGUUGAGGUAGGCGGAAUUUAUGGUGUAGCGGUGAAAUGCAUAGAUACCAUAAGGAACACCGAUAGCGAAGGCAGCUUACUAAACUAUCACUGACGCUGAGGCACGAAAGCAUGGGGAGCGAACAGGAUUAGAUACCCCCGUAGUCC